CAAUAGCGUAUAUUUAAGUUGUUGCAGUUAAAAAGCUCGUAGUCGGAUUUUGGCUGAGAACGAACGGUCCGCCGUUAGGUGUGCACUGUUUGGUCUCAGCUUCCUGGUGAGGAGGUGUGCUUCACGGCCACUUAGUCACCGUGGUUACUUUGAAAAAAUUAGAGUGUUCAAAGCGGGCUUACGCUUGAAUAUAUUAGCAUGGAAUAACACCAUAGGACUCCUGUCCUAUUUCGUUGGUCUCGGGACGGGAGUAAUGAUUAAGAGGAACAGUUGGGGGCAUUCGUAUUUCAUUGUCAGAGGUGAAAUUCUUGGAUUUACGGAAGACGAACAACUGCGAAAGCAUUUGCCAAGGAUGUUUUCAUUAA
RNAcentral lists this ribosomal RNA (365 nucleotides) under uncultured eukaryote. RNAcentral's name for it is "partial 18S ribosomal RNA". It matches the Rfam family "Eukaryotic small subunit ribosomal RNA", at positions 592 to 976 of the family's 1831-position model. The record is from RNAcentral.